AAAUCGCAUGAAGGAUGGCAGCGGAAAUCCUUUUAUGUAGUCCCGAAGAUUCGGGACUACAUAAAAGAUUGCAGCGAACAGCCUGACGCAGC
RNAcentral lists this small RNA (92 nucleotides) under Flavobacterium sinopsychrotolerans. RNAcentral describes it as "Flavo-1 RNA". It matches the Rfam family "Flavo-1 RNA". Lineage: Bacteria; Pseudomonadati; Bacteroidota; Flavobacteriia; Flavobacteriales; Flavobacteriaceae. The record is from RNAcentral.